UGGGGUGUGGCUCAGCAGUAAAGCACUUGCCUAGAAUGCACUAGGCCUAGGUUCCAUCCCUAGUACUCCGG
This 71-nucleotide transfer RNA is filed under the name Neotoma lepida (desert woodrat). It matches the Rfam family "tRNA". From Rfam's summary of the family: Transfer RNA (tRNA) molecules are approximately 80 nucleotides in length. Their secondary structure includes four short double-helical elements and three loops (D, anti-codon, and T loops). Lineage: Eukaryota; Metazoa; Chordata; Mammalia; Rodentia; Cricetidae. The record is from Rfam by way of RNAcentral.